Molecule: non-coding RNA, 45 nt
Filed under: Schistosoma curassoni
Lineage: Eukaryota; Metazoa; Platyhelminthes; Trematoda; Strigeidida; Schistosomatidae
Source: RNAcentral
AUUCAAAUGACGAGUCCCAAAUAAGACGAAAUACUUAUCCUAAGU